RNAcentral lists this ribosomal RNA (789 nucleotides) under uncultured bacterium. RNAcentral describes it as "bacterial SSU rRNA". It matches the Rfam family "Bacterial small subunit ribosomal RNA", at positions 8 to 798 of the family's 1533-position model. The record is from RNAcentral.
AGAGUUUGAUCCUGGCUCAGGACGAACGCUGGCGGCGUGCUUAACACAUGCAAGUCGAACGGAAAGGCCCCUUCGGGGGUACUCGAGUGGCGAACGGGUGAGUAACACGUGGGUGAUCUGCCCUACACUUUGGGAUAAGCCUGGGAGACUGGGUCUAAUACCGAAUAGGACCGCAUGCUUCAUGGUGUGUGGUGGAAAGCUUUUGCGGUGUGGGAUGGGCCCGCGGCCUAUCAGCUUGUUGGUGGGGUAAUGGCCUACCAAGGCGACGACGGGUAGCCGGCCUGAGAGGGUGUCCGGCCACACUGGGACUGAGAUACGGCCCAGACUCCUACGGGAGGCAGCAGUGGGGAAUAUUGCACAAUGGGCGCAAGCCUGAUGCAGCGACGCCGCGUGGGGGAUGACGGCCUUCGGGUUGUAAACCUCUUUCAGUAUCGGCGAAGCUCCAGGAUUUUUCUUGGGGUGACGGUAGGUACAGAAGAAGCACCGGCCAACUACGUGCCAGCAGCCGCGGUAAUACGUAGGGUGCGAGCGUUGUCCGGAAUUACUGGGCGUAAAGAGCUCGUAGGUGGUUUGUCACGUUGUCUGUGAAAACUCACAGCUUAACUGUGGGCGUGCGGGCGAUACGGGCAGACUGGAGUACUGUAGGGGAGACUGGAAUUCCUGGUGUAGCGGUGGAAUGCGCAGAUAUCAGGGGGAACACCGGUGGCGAAGGCGGGUCUCCGGGCAGUAACUGACGCUGAGGAGCGAAAGCGUGGGGAGCGAACAGGAUUAGAUACCCUGGUAGUCCAA